AGGCUUCUAAAACCCAGGCCUGAUUCAGUCUGGCUUCAUUUUACUGUAGUCAUGAGGCUUCUAAAAACCCAGGCCUGAUUCAGUCUGGCUUCAUUUUACUGUAGUCAUGAGGCUUCUAAAAACCCAGGCCUGAUUCAGUCUGGCUUCAUUUUACUGUAGUCAUGAGACUUCUAAAAACCCAGGCCUGAUUCAGUCUGGCUUCAUUUUACUGUAGUCAUGAGGCUUCUAAAAACCCAGGCCUGAUUCAGUCUGGCUUCAUUUUACUGUAGUCAUGAGGCUUCUAAAAACCCAGGCCUGAUUCAGUCUGGCUUCAUUUUACUGUAGUCAUGAGACUUCUAAAAACCCAGGCCUGAUUCAGUCUGGCUUCAUUUUACUGUAGUCAUGAGGCUUUUAAAAACCCAGGCCUGAUUCAGAGUCUGGCUUCAUUUUACUGUAGUCAUGAGGCUUCUAAAAACCCAGGCCUGAUUCAGUCUGGCUUCAUUUUACUGUAGUCAUGAGGCUUCUAAAAACCCAGGCCUGAUUCAGUCUGGCUUCAUUUUACUGUAGUCAUGAGGCUUCUAAAAACCCAGGCCUGAUUCAGUCUGGCUUCAUUUUACUGUAGUCAUGAGGCUUCUAAAAACCCAGGCCUGAUUCAGUCUGGCUUCAUUUUACUGUAGUCAUGAGGAUCCUGAGUGGCGCAGCGGUCUAAGGCACUGUGUCUCAGUGCUUGAGGCGUCACUACAGGCACCCUGGUUCAAAUCCAGGCUGUAUCACAACCGGCUGUGAUUUGGAGUACCAUAGGGUGGUGCACAAUUGGCCCAGUAUCGUCCUGGUUUAGGGUUUGACCGGUGUAGGCUGUCAUUGUAAAUAAGGAUUUGUUCUUAACUGACUUGCCUGGUUAAAUAAAGGUCAUUAAAAAAGAACAGUCACAUUUGAGUACAACUCUGCUGCAGUCACAAUGAUCAGGACAGAAAUAACACUGUGCCUCCAGACAUGACUAAAUAAUGACAUUCUGUUUCAGAUUUUGGAGGCCAUGGCAAGAUGACGCAGAGAUGGGAACACAGAAGAAGAUGUGAUUGGUCUGCUUGUUUAGCGAUAUCCAAUUGCGAUCCAAUUCCGAUCUUGUCUCAUCGCUGCAUCUUCCCAACGGGCUCGGGAGAGGCGAAGGUCGAGUCAUGUGUCCUCCGAAACAUGACCCGCCAAACCACGCCUCUUAACACCCGCCCGUUUAACCUCGGAAGCCAAGUGCACCAAUGUGUCAGAGGAAAAACCGUUGAACUGACGACCGGAGUCAGCCUGGAGGCGCCCGGCCAACCACAAGGAGUUGCGAUACACUGCGCCACACUCUGAGGCCUCAGGAACAAUUAUUUUGAUAUAUGUUUUUACUGAACUUGAAAAGUAUUUUGUAUAAUUCUGUAAAAUGAAUCAGACUUAAAUGAUUUUUAAUACCAUGAGGAAGUCAAACCCAAUGAGUCCCAUCGGGACACUGGUGUGUUUUGGACUUUUAACCCCUGUUAAACAUUGUGAGAAAAAAAUGUAUGUACUUACAGCAUUCAUAUAAAUUCAUUAUUAUUAGGUUCUUGCUUGGUUGACUUUUUUAAAUUUGUUGCCAUUUGUCAAUAAAAGCUCAUGAAUGCCAA
Non-coding RNA from Salmo salar (Atlantic salmon), 1619 nucleotides. The record is from RefSeq and is a predicted model, not a curated record. NCBI's taxonomy places the organism in Eukaryota, Metazoa, Chordata, Actinopteri, Salmoniformes, Salmonidae.